Long non-coding RNA from Harpia harpyja (harpy eagle), 426 nucleotides. RefSeq lists it as uncharacterized. The record is from RefSeq and is a predicted model, not a curated record. The transcript is spliced from 2 exons. Lineage: Eukaryota; Metazoa; Chordata; Aves; Accipitriformes; Accipitridae.
CACAGAAACAGGCAGUGUGACAUUCCCGCCGUACCCUUGCUCUUCAUUAAAGUCUUGGAUAUGCAGCCUGUGCCUGCUGAGUUUUCAGGGCUGGAUGUAAGCUUCAGGAGGACCAACCGGAGAGGGUUGUGCACCCGGAUCCUGCUGGUAUGGCUGGAAAUAUGCACUACCAUGAUGUCCGUGGGAGACGACACCUGCUUAAUUACGCCCACACCUGGAUCUGUAUGCUCAGGAUCCUUAGGAAGGUUAAAAACCAGCAAGACUGAUGUCAGCCUACAAACAGCUCUGAGAACAUGAACAAUAGCCGUGAAAACCAUGAACCGGCCUGUUUAUAUCUAUUGUAUGCUUGCUUGGAUGCAUAAGGAUUAUUUGAAGGGAAUUGUUUUGUUCUGCUGCGUACCGUCUUAGUAAAUGAAUCUGGAUAAC